UACUUUGUACAGGACAGUUCCACAUAUAUUUUUAUGACAACAAUGCUAUUUGUACAUUAUCUGUUUGACAUCAUUCUUAACAUUCCAUUAUUUUCAAAAUAAGUGUUGGGGAGAAAAUGUUUUUUAUUUUCAAACUAUCCAAUGUGAUGUCGUCACGUGACACAAUGUAAUGAAUAAUGUCUAACUCAAUGUACAAGUAGCAUGAUUGGAGCAGAACUCCAUCCAAGACGCAAUGAUGGAUCCAUAUAUUCCUCCCGAACUGGCAAAUAUCCA
This 273-nucleotide long non-coding RNA is filed under the name Olea europaea (common olive). RNAcentral describes it as "long non-coding RNA (OEUR_LNC005121)". The record is from RNAcentral. Lineage: Eukaryota; Viridiplantae; Streptophyta; Magnoliopsida; Lamiales; Oleaceae.